AUUCCUUUCCCGCGUUCCCUAUGUUCUCUCCAAAAUCCACGUCCCAUCUCCCAUUUCGCGCGAAAUUCUCCUCUCAACCAUAACCACUACCACCACCCUCUCCCCCUCCACCCUCCCUCCAUUCUCUCUCUUUCUCUCUCACUCUGCAACGAUUUUUCUCCUGUUUCUUCACCUCCGAAUUAUCACCUUUCCUGCAAAUUGUUUUCUCUCUCUUUCUUCUUGACGCGGAAUCUGAAUUCCGCCCCGGACUCCGCCAUGGAAGAUGAAUAGA
This 271-nucleotide unclassified non-coding RNA is filed under the name Hevea brasiliensis (rubber tree). Lineage: Eukaryota; Viridiplantae; Streptophyta; Magnoliopsida; Malpighiales; Euphorbiaceae. The record is from RNAcentral.